GUUAACCUGGAAUCAAAUAGGGAUACCCGCUGAACUUAAGCAUAUCAAUAAGCGGAGGAAG
This 61-nucleotide ribosomal RNA is filed under the name Dothideomycetes sp. 7 GS-2016. RNAcentral's name for it is "partial 28S ribosomal RNA". It matches the Rfam family "Eukaryotic large subunit ribosomal RNA", at positions 1 to 59 of the family's 3401-position model. Lineage: Eukaryota; Fungi; Ascomycota; Dothideomycetes. The record is from RNAcentral.